CGAUAAACAAACAAUAGGGGAUCAUAAAGAACGUUCUAUAGUAGAUAUAUAAUGUUCAGACAACAGUGGAUCCUGUAGAACGCCCUUUAGUAUAUACAUAAUAAACAAACAAUAUAUGGGAUCCUAUAAAACGUUCUAUAGUAGAUAUAUAAUGUUCAGACAAAAGAGGAUACUGUAGAACGCCCUUUAAAAUAAACACUAACAACACCAACAGGGGACCCUAUAGAACGUCCUAUUUUAGAUAUAUAACGUUGAGAAAACAGGAGAUCCUGCAGACCGCCCA
This 283-nucleotide long non-coding RNA is filed under the name Mytilus galloprovincialis (Mediterranean mussel). Lineage: Eukaryota; Metazoa; Mollusca; Bivalvia; Mytilida; Mytilidae. The record is from RNAcentral.